AGUCGCCACGGGAAUACAGAGGGUGCGAGCGUUAAUCGGAUUUACUGGGCGUAAAGCGUGCGUAGGCGGCUUCUUAAGUCGGAUGUGAAAUCCCUGAGCUUAACUUAGGAAUUGCAUUCGAUACUGGGAAGCUAGAGUAUGGGAGAGGAUGGUAGAAUUCCAGGUGUAGCGGUGAAAUGCGUAGAGAUCUGGAGGAAUACCGAUGGCGAAGGCAGCCAUCUGGCCUAAUACUGACGCUGAGGUACGAAAGCAUGGGGAGCAAACAGGAUUAGAUACCCGCGUAGUCCCUGUCUCUUAUACA
RNAcentral lists this ribosomal RNA (301 nucleotides) under uncultured bacterium. RNAcentral's name for it is "partial 16S ribosomal RNA". It matches the Rfam family "Bacterial small subunit ribosomal RNA", at positions 510 to 808 of the family's 1533-position model. The record is from RNAcentral.